RNAcentral lists this ribosomal RNA (253 nucleotides) under uncultured bacterium. Its description in RNAcentral is "partial 16S ribosomal RNA". It matches the Rfam family "Bacterial small subunit ribosomal RNA", at positions 524 to 776 of the family's 1533-position model. The record is from RNAcentral.
UACGGAGGGUGCAAGCGUUGUCCGGAAUCACUGGGCGUAAAGGGCGCGUAGGCGGCUCAUGAAGGCUGUGGUGAAAGUCCGGGGCUCAACCUCGGAUCGGCCGUGGCGACUCGUGGGCUGGAGCACUGUAGAGGCGGGUGGAAUUCCGGGUGUAGCGGUGGAAUGCGUAGAGAUCCGGAAGAACACCGGUGGCGAAGGCGGCUCACUGGCUCAUUACUGACGCUCAAGCGCGAUAGCGUGGGGAUCAAACAGG